CGAAGCAUCACUGGAUUCGUGUCAAAUGCAAGCGAUACAAAGGCAGAUGCAGGGAAGUCUCAAAUACAUUUUAUGAGUCGUAAUGAAGGAUAAACAUUGUGACGAGGUGACAGAGCGCAGACCUUGGACUUGGCCCUCGGCUUUGAGCCCCAGCAGGCACUUACACGUGAUUCAAUGACAGCUCUUGAGAUGGUGGGGAAAUUAAUUCUUGCUCAGUGUAAAGAAUCUAUUCAUAAGCGCUUUGCGUAAGAAAACAUGAACACUUUUUCAUAUGGAUCAAAGUGGCCAUCUGGUUAAAUUCACACAGGCUAUACCUUAUUCAUGCAACUCCUUUACUACUCUCGGUGGAUUAGUUUAAUUUUCUGUCUUCCUUUUUCCCUCAGGUUUGUGCAGCACUUGCAGAGUGAGACUCUCUCAAGAAUGUGUCUAAUUUAGUGGCUAAGAGGCAGAUUUAUACCUGUGCUAGUUAUGAAGAGGGUUGCUCCCUCGAGAAGCCCAAUGACUGUUUACGGGCGGCCUGACAAUGCCUUAGCAGAUGAUGAAGCACCUGCCAUGAGUUCCCCCAUGUCUGUUCCAUCCCUUUCUGUCUGUCUGCUUGCCUCCCUUCCUCUCGCUUUCUUCCUUCUUUCUCUCUUUCUCAGCCUUCUCUCCUUCCUCACUCCUUCCUGUCUCCCGCCCUUUCUCUCACGUUUCUUUUCUCAGCAGAGCCACAAUCCUUCAGUUACCAUGGAGUUGUGCAUUUUACAGCCAUUCCCACUGCUCUCCCCAGAGUGAACCCAUCUACUUACUUCAUCUACCGCUAUGAGUUUUCGUCUUCAUGUCCCUCCACCAUUCUUCUUCUCUCCCUCCCCCUUCACACACAUACUGGAUAGACAAAUCAACAGCAACACACACACACAGCGGUGAACAGAACUGUGGUCAGGUUUUGUUUAUGACAGGGAAAGGCAAUAUCGAGAUUGUU
Molecule: long non-coding RNA, 961 nt
Organism: Siniperca chuatsi (mandarin fish)
Lineage: Eukaryota; Metazoa; Chordata; Actinopteri; Centrarchiformes; Sinipercidae
Exons: 3
Source: RefSeq, a predicted model, not a curated record